GCCUUCAUGGCCAAGUUGGUAAGGCGCGUCACUAGUAGUCGUUUAAGAUUAAAGUUAUGACGAGAUAAUCAGUUCGAAUCUGGUUGAAGGCA
Sugiyamaella lignohabitans is the source of this 92-nucleotide non-coding RNA. The record is from the annotation of a RefSeq genome assembly. Lineage: Eukaryota; Fungi; Ascomycota; Dipodascomycetes; Dipodascales; Trichomonascaceae.